Oncorhynchus tshawytscha (Chinook salmon) is the source of this 341-nucleotide long non-coding RNA. The record is from Ensembl. Lineage: Eukaryota; Metazoa; Chordata; Actinopteri; Salmoniformes; Salmonidae.
AAAAUCGCCACUGGACAAUUUACAUUGAACCCCUCCCCCUCCCUUUUGUACACUGCUGCUACUCGCUGUUUGUUUGUUAUCGAUGCAUAGUCACUUCACCCCAACUACAUGUACAGAUUACCUCAACUAGCCUGUACCCCUGCACACUGACUCGGUACAGGUGCCCCCUGUAUAUACCCCCGCACACUGACUCGGUACAGGUGCCCCCUGUAUAUACCACCCACACUGACUCGGUACAGGUGCCCCCUGUAUAUACCCCCCACACUGACUCGGUACAGGUGCCCCCUGUAUAUACCACCCACACUGACUCGGUACAGGUGCCCCCUGUAUAUACCACCCAC